Molecule: ribosomal RNA, 920 nt
Filed under: uncultured bacterium
Lineage: Bacteria
Description: bacterial SSU rRNA
Rfam family: Bacterial small subunit ribosomal RNA
Source: RNAcentral
GAUAGUAGCAAUACUAUGCUGCUAAGUGGCGCACGGGUGAGUAAUAUAUAGGUAACAUGCCCUUAAGAGGGGGAUAACAGAGGGAAACCUUUGCUAAUACCCCAUAACCCUUCUUGUCAUAAGAUGAGUUGGCAAAGUUUUUUCGCUUAAGGAUUGGCCUGUAUUGUAUCAGCUUGUUGGUGAGGUAACGGCUCACCAAGGCUAUGACGCAUAACUGGUCUGAGAGGAUGAUCAGUCACACUGGAACUGUGACACGGUCCAGACUCCUACGGGAGGCAGCAGUGGGGAAUAUUGCACAAUGGGGGAAACCCUGAUGCAGCAACGCCGCGUGGAGGAUGACACUUUUCGGAGCGUAAACUCCUUUUCUGUUAGAAGAUAAUGACGGUAUAACAGGAAUAAGCACCGGCUAACUCCGUGCCAGCAGCCGCGGUAAUACGGAGGGUGCAAGCGUUACUCGGAAUCACUGGGCGUAAAGAGCGUGUAGGCUGUUUAGCAAGUCAGAAGUGAAAUCCUAUAGCUCAACUAUAGAACUGCUUUUGAAACUGCUUAACUAGAGUGUGGGAGAGGCAGAUGGAAUUUCUGGUGUAGGGGUAAAAUCCGUAGAUAUCAGAAGGAAUACCGAUUGCGAAGGCGAUCUGCUGGAACAUUACUGACGCUGAGACGCGAAAGCGUGGGGAGCAAACAGGAUUAGAUACCCUGGUAGUCCACGCCCUAAACGAUGUACACUAGUUGUUGUGGUGCUAGCCACUGCAGUAAUACAGCUAACGCAUUAAGUGUACCGCCUGGGGAGUACGGUCGCAAGAUUAAAACUCAAAGGAAUAGACGGGGACCCGCACAAGCGGUGGAGCAUGCGGUUUAAUUCGAAGAUACGCGAAAAACCUUACCUGGCCUUGACAUUGAUAGAAUCCGAUAGAGAUAUU